CAAGUCGAGCGGUAACACUUCGGGUGACGAGCGGCGGACGGCUGAGUAACGCGUAGGAACGUACCCUAUAGUGAGGGAUAAGCCCGGGGAAACCGGGUCUAAUACCGCAUAAUCUCUUCGGAGGAAAGCAGCAAUGCGCUAAAGGAGCGGCCUGCGUAUGAUUAGCUUGUUGGUGAGGUAAAAGCUCACCAAGGCGAUGAUCAUUAGCUGGUCUGAGAGGAUGAUCAGCCAGACUGGGACUGAGACACGGCCCAGACCCCUACGGGGGGCAGCAAUUAGGAAUCUUUCGCAAUGGGGGAAACCCUGACGGAGCGACGCCGCGUGCAGGAGGAAUGCCUUCGGGUUGUAAACUGCUUUUAUCUGUGACGAUUAUGACGGUAGCAGAAGAAUAAGGACCUGCUAACUACGUGCCAGCAGCCGCGGUCAUACGUAGGGUCCAAGCGUUAUCCGGAAUUACUGGGCGUAAAGAGUUGCGUAGGUGGCAUAGUAAGCAGAUAGUGAAAUUGUGCGGCUCAACCGCAUACCCGCUAUCUGAACUGCUAAGCUUGAGCACGAGAGAGGUAACUGGAAUUCCCGGUGUAGGAGUGAAAUCCGUAGAUAUCGGGAGGAACACCGAUGGCGUAGGCAGGUUACUGGCUCGUUGCUGACACUAAGGCACGAAAGCGUGGGGAGCGAACGGGAUUAGAUACCCCGGUAGUCCACGCCGUAAACGAUGGAUGCUAGCUGUUAUCAGUAUCGACCCUGGUAGUAGCGAAGCUAACGCGUUAAGCAUCCCGCCUGUGGAGUACGGCCGCAAGGCUAAAACAUAAAGGAAUUGACGGGGACCCGCACAAGCGGUGGAGCGUGUUGUUUAAUUC
RNAcentral lists this ribosomal RNA (857 nucleotides) under uncultured bacterium. RNAcentral describes it as "bacterial SSU rRNA". It matches the Rfam family "Bacterial small subunit ribosomal RNA", at positions 58 to 952 of the family's 1533-position model. The record is from RNAcentral.